Engraulis encrasicolus (European anchovy) is the source of this 254-nucleotide long non-coding RNA. RefSeq lists it as uncharacterized. NCBI's taxonomy places the organism in Eukaryota, Metazoa, Chordata, Actinopteri, Clupeiformes, Engraulidae. The transcript has 3 exons. The record is from RefSeq and is a predicted model, not a curated record.
GGUCACACUACUUAUUCAAGAACCUCUUGGAUAUCAUUGGCAUGUAUGCAGCACAGAGUCAUUCCAGUAGGCACGGAGUCGUUCCACGAUGGACGUGAUGACCUGGCACCAAAACCGCUUAAUGUGUAUGAAGCUGUCUGCAUCGAGGGAAGAACCCAGCACUGAAGUGACACAAAUGAAAGAAGGGGACUUCUGCUCUGCUGGGUCUGCGACACUACUUAUCUGAGGAGUCCUCAAACAUCAGGAUGUAGGAA